RNAcentral lists this long non-coding RNA (4638 nucleotides) under Populus trichocarpa (black cottonwood). Its description in RNAcentral is "long non-coding RNA (PTRI_LNC004091)". The record is from RNAcentral. Lineage: Eukaryota; Viridiplantae; Streptophyta; Magnoliopsida; Malpighiales; Salicaceae.
UAUAUAUCUCGAGUCAAAAUCAAAGAGAUCAUCAACUACUGCGAAUGCUCUUGAGGAUCCUCUACAGCUUUUCCUCCUGUAUCUGGAUAAGGUAUAUAUAUAUAUAUGAAUCAGAAUGUUAUUUUACUUCGGUAGAUAUGCUUAUCCUCUUUAACUUUUACCUUUUCCCUUUAUUCUUGGCCUCUUGGCCAAAAUGUCGAGAGUGAAAGAAUUAGAUAUGUUCACACUCGCAAUUAACAUUAUUUGAGGAAUUUUGACAUAAUCCUUGCGUCUUAGAGAUUUUAAUUUUGACAUUAUUUGAGGAAUAUGAUUAGUUCUCACAAUUAUAUAGAGUGUGUUUGGAAGCGUGGUUGUGAUUAUUUUUUAAAAUGGUUUUUUAUUUGGAAGUGCAUCAAAAUAAUAUUUUUUUUUAUUUUUUAAAAUUAUUUUUAAUAUCAGCACAUCAAAAUAAUUUAAAAACACUAAAAAAAUAUUAAUUUAAAAUAAAAAAAAAAUUAAAUUGUUUUAAAAUACUUCUAAAACACCAAACCAAAACAAAGAGGAUAUAAAAUAUUCUACCAAUCAAGAAGUACAAUCUUAAAUAUUCUACGAAUCAAGAAGUACAGAUUUUGCUUUGAGACUGGUGGGCAUGAAGCACUUGUCCAUAGAAUUGAUCCAUCCAAUUGGAGAACUCAUCAAUGGCUUCUGAUACUGGUCGAGUUUCGCACUUGAGGUCUUGGUUCAGAUCAUGAGUUGGAGAACUCUAAACUAUUCCUGUUGUUAUCACAUAAUACAUAUCAUAUCAGACAAAUAAACAUCAGAAGGAAAUAUACUGCAGAACCUCAUGAUCACUUCUUGAAAACAAUGGCCUCUGCCGCCGGAUUUUAAAUACAAGUCAUGCUCAAUAAAUUCUCUUAUGAAUAUACUCAUCUAGAUACGGAUGGUUAUAGCAAAACAAAUUUAUUUUUAGUCUCUGUUUGGUUGAUAGAAAGUUAUUUUUUUUUUUUAAAUAAUUUUCAGAAAAGUGAAUUAUUUUCCGAUGUUUGGUAGUGUAAUGAAAAAUAAGUUGCAAAACACUUUCUAGUGUUUUGUUAUGUCAUGAAAAAUGAGCUGGAAAAUAAUUUAUUAAUAUUUUAUUUUUUUCAAAUUUAUUAAAAUAACAAGGAACAAAUCUUACAAAUUAAAAAGUUGAAUAAGAAUGAAAUUGAAAAAAAUAAUAAUUUCAUAAAUUAUCUCAAAUAAAAUAAAUAAUAAUAAAAAUAAUAGAGAUCAAAUCUAACAAAUUAAAAAAUUAAAAGAUGAAGAAAUUAAAAUAAUAAUAAUUAUCAUUUAAUAAAUUAUAUCAAAUAAAAUAAGUAACAAUAAAAAGAAUGAGGAUCAAAUUUGAUAAAUAAAAAAAUUCAAUUAAAAAAUGAUAAGGGAAAAGCAAAUAACAAUAAUAAAAAUGAGGACCAAAGUUAAUAUAAAAAUCAAAUUCUAAGGGAUGAAAUUGAAAAAAAAAUAUUCAAAACAAAAUAUAUAUAGCAAUCAAAAGUUUGAUGGCCAAAAUUGAUAUAAUCAGCAAAUAAUAUGAUAUUCUAAAUUUUUAACAACUUCUGAAAAAUAUUUUCCACCCAAAAUAAAAGGAAAACACUUUCCUGGAAAUUAAGUCAAAUUUUUCUUUGACUGGAAAAUAUUUUUUGUUGACCAACUUUUCUAAUGAUAAACAAACAUAAACAAAUUUAGAAAAUAAUUUCCAAAAAACUACUUUUCACCUAUCAAACAAGUUCUUCCUUGUAGAAUUUUUUCCAAGAAUUCUUAAUCAUUAGCAAAAAUAAAUAAAUUAUAUAUGAUCUUUAGUUCAAUAAAUUUAUUAAAAAAGAAAAACGAGCACGUAGUGGGUUUCAAGUUUAAGACAUUAUAGAUGAGGGUUUUUUUUUUUUAAUAAUAAUGAUAUACUAAUUCACUAAUUCUCUCACUAUCACAUGACACUUGACUGAAGGACUUAAGUGUAAAAUCAGUCUUUAGAACUAAUUUACAUUAUAUUCUCUAACAUGUUCAAGUUAAAGCUUUUUUAUUUUGAAUUCACAAAAAUUUAUUGCCAUCUUGUACUUUAUUAAUAUUUUAAUUAAUAAGGAAAAAAGGGUGAUGGGGUUUGAAUUACUGAUAACUUAGUCAAAAAAAGCUUAUAUACUAUGCAUAAAAAUCAUAUACUAAAAACAUAUAUCAUGUUAUGUGAGGCUCAAAAAUAAAAUCUAAAUAUUCUAAUUUUCAAUAUUUUGGAUGGGAUUUUUUUUAUAGGAAAUUCGUAUGCUUUUCCAUCAUAAACUUUUACGUGUAAAAGGAUAAAAGAGCUUAAAUUACUUUUAGUUUAGAAAUGGAGAGCUGAUAUGAGCUAAUUUAGAGUAAAAUGUAUGAUUUUAAUUAUUUAGAUUAAUUAAAACGUUAUAAUUUUUAAAUUUAAAAUAAUAUUAUUAUAAAAAAAAACCGAGUUUUAAGGGUUGACUCGUAAUUUAUCAAGAUCAAACAACCGAGCUAGGUUUUGACUCGAACCAUCAUAUUAGAACAGGUUUAACUCGUGUCACCUUCGCGUCGGCCAAGAACAAAAACAUACUCGCACACUUGCCUAUAAUGUGAUCACAAGGAACAUGCUUAUGCCUUGGAAUUUCUUGUUACUUGAGAUCUUUUUUUUGGGUAUCAAGAUUUCUUGAGAUUUGCUUCUUCUGACUUCCUCACCGACUCAUUAAAAAUUGCUUUUAGUUCUUUUUCAGAGUAAUAAAUAGUUUAAGACUAUUCGUUACCACCUUUCGGUUCUUUCUAUAGUUGGGUAUUUAAUAUUUAAUAUGCUAUUGUCCAAAGUGUCAAAAAUACUCCUAGGGGUUUGUUUGGGAAUGUGGUUACGGUUAAUUUUUAAAAUACUUUUCAUGCUGAAAUAUAUUAAAAUAAUAUAUAUUUUUAUUUUUUAAAAAUCAUUUUUGAGAUCAACGCAUCAAAACGAUUCAAAAUAUAUAAAAAAAUUAAUUUUUAAUAGAAAAAAUUUGAAUUUUUUAAAAACACAGGUUGACUCGCGUUUCCAAACGCUACCUAAAUAACUUGUACUUUAUUCUACUAAUUUUUUAUUAUUUUCGUAUUCCCAUGCUAAAUUUAUUUCCAAAGGAACAUUGCUUUUAUCAAAUUUUAUUGUAAAGUAAUUAUAAUUAAUUGCAAUGCUUAAUUCCUUACCAAUCAUUAAUGGAAAUUUUGUCUUUACUUUUUCUUACAAAAAACGGUGGAAUUCAAACACAUGUAGAAAAUUUCUUAAAGAUUACUAACUUGUUUGAGAUUGUAAAAGUGGUUGUGGUUUAAAGUAUUUUUUAUUUAGAAAUGCAUCAAAAUUAUAUCUUUUUAUUUUUAAAAAAUUAUUUUUAAAAUUAACAUAUCAAAAUGAUCUGAAAAUAUAUAUAAAAAAAUAAUUUAUAACAAUUAUUUUUUAAAAAAUUAAUAACACCCGGUUUGCACCGCUAUGUUCCCAAAGGGACUCUUGAUAACCCUCUCUAAAAAACAAGAGCAAAACUAGAAUUUUAGAGAUAAAGGGAUAAUAUGAUUAGUAUAAAGGAACAUUUAAAUUAAAUAAAUUAAUGUUGGAUCAGAAUUUUUGGAAUAGGAGAAUAUGAUAUUUUAAUGAAAUCAAUUUAACUUAAUUUGAUGCUAGUUUUAAGACUUUAGGACUAAAUUGAAAACCUUCUCAAAGUCUAUGCAUGGCCACCCAUUAUCCAAGCAUAAUUGCAUAAACAGAGUUCUGCGCCCCUGCCGACGAAGUAGAAUUCCAGCAAUAUCCUCGGUGACAAGCACGAUAAUUCAUGUAGCAAAAUUCAAGCUACAUAACUACAAAACAAAAUUAAAAUACCCUAUGCUAAAUUACAAGGGAAUAACUCAAUUGAUUAAAAUUUAAAUUUAUUUUUUAAAAAUUAUCUUGAGUCCUGCAAAUCUCAGGAUCAUUGGAGACUUACAUGGUCGUUAACUUCAAGAUUUGUAAAAUUUGUUAAGGAGAGUACAAGGUAGCCUGGACAUCCAUGUUUAUAAUAAUAAUAAUAAUAAAAAACUCCAGUAUCAUGUUAAAAAAAAAUCUAUUUUUAAAAAAGCUUAACGAAUAACCACUUUAAUAUAAAUUAUAUUCUGAGAAUUAUUUAAUAAUUUAAGCUAUUAAGUUGAGAUGAUUACUAAUUUGUCUUUAAAACGUUGGUCUCACCACCCUUUUCUGAGAGUUAACUUCAUGCACACAUCAUUCUUCUUAUCAUUUCAAUCUUAAAAAAGCUACAGAGCAAGCAAAUGCACAAUCCGUCAUAAACAAAAGGAAGGAAAAAGAGGAAGUGGGCAGGCUUGGAUUUUCAAUCAAAUAUCGUUCCUUCUCAACUGUAUCUACCAAGCUACCAUAUUCUAGAUUACUGCAAGAGGUUUGACCUAUUCUUUACUCAAAAGUGCUAAAGCUUGCCAGAUCAGGAGAUUUAAGACGAGAAUAGAAGUCGAAGUGAUUCAAAUCUUUGAAACCGAAAGCUAAAGAAGUGAUCCCACCUGUGCAUAUAUUCCAUACAAGUCAUUUAGUUUCCUGUAAUAGCUAGAGGUAUUUCUUUUGAUAAUCUCCUGCUAGUCUCUGCUCGUUCCUUGAAGGCUUGUAUGCUUAAAGGCAUGGUCCAGAUAUAC